This is a long non-coding RNA of Lolium rigidum, 1845 nucleotides long. RefSeq lists it as uncharacterized. NCBI's taxonomy places the organism in Eukaryota, Viridiplantae, Streptophyta, Magnoliopsida, Poales, Poaceae. The transcript is spliced from 3 exons. The record is from RefSeq and is a predicted model, not a curated record.
UAUAUGUUGGACUUCUGGUUUUCUCUGAUCAUGCAUUUGCAGUAAAGGACUUUGUGCUUCCCUAUUCUGAACUUGAAAGAACUAAUUUGUUCUGCUCAGUUCAAUGUCAAAUAUGACGUUCUGCUUCCCUAUUCUGAAUUUGAAAGAACUAAUUCGUUCCUCUCAGUUGAAUGUUCUACUAUAUUCAAAUAUGACGCCACCAGCUAUAUUCAAAUAUGACGCCAGCAGCUUAAAUUGAACGCUCACAUGUUGAUCCUUGAUGAUGGUACUAAUUUUGCUUCAGAGUUUGUUACCUACGGAGUUUUAUUUAUCUUUGCAUAGUGACAAAAUUUUCCUGAAUAAUAUGGAGUCAGCAAAACAAGGCCUGUUAUCUACAUCAGCUACUUCAAAUGUGUUUAGUGCAAGUUGGGAUAUGGGAUAUCAGCUAAAAGUGGGCAGCUCAUACUUUACCAUUUGUUGUAUGCUGGAAUGACUACUAUACAGAGAAGUCAGUCAGUACUUUAUUUUAAAACGGUUUCUUGCUGGCUUCCUCAAUGAAUGGCUUCCUCAGAAAUAUAAGAGGUUCUUUCAUUGAUAGAUUGCAAAUGGAAGGUCCGGUCAGUUUGCUCAUUCUCCGACUGAUCAGCACCUUUGGUAGACAGCAAGGUGCAUCUCCACCCGGAUUACAUGGUAGCCUUUUGUUGGUAAUUGUAAGUCCCGCUUCCAGUUUAUGCAUGUCUGCAGCCUUUUUAUUCUUACAUAUGACUGUCCAUUUGGCUUUCAAUUGUUUAACGGUAAGCUUCUCCAAAUGGGUCAUUCCAAGUGUGAUUUAGUUAUGUCUACUUCUCAUAAUAUGUUAUUUUCAAAUUACAGAUUAUUAUUCAACAUGAAAUAAAAAAAAUCAAAUGUUGGAAGCCUUCUCAUCAAAGGGAAAUGUUCAGAUUAAAAUUGCGAGGUUUCAACUUCAGAUUUUAUCAAGGAAAAUCACGAAGAUUCAUCGUAAGAAAUACUUUUAAACCGGGGGUGGUAAGUGUAUUCAUGCAAUAUGCUAUAACUCACCAAUUUUUUGACAAUUUUAUUGAAAAGAAAUAUUAACAAAUCAAGAUUGUCAGUGGUGCGGUAUUAUGAAUUAACAGUACAUUAGCAGGCUGAGUAAUUUCAGUUCAAGCAUGACCUCCCCUAAGUUUCUUUAUUAUUCUCGGCCUUUUUGCUAGCCUUUUAGUGGCUCUUUAUAUUUUUCUUCGAGGCAAACCAUCUUGCGCACUUCAAGUUUUUUUUUUCAAGUAAUCACACUUCAAAGUUCAGUGUUGAUGAUGCCAAUUGGUAUUUGAUGAAAGUGGUUUACCAACUACACAGCCUAGAAAUCAAGAGGUGGUUGAUCAUCUACGGGCUACAACAGUGCUCAGCGCUACAACUGAUCGAAUGACUGGGGAUAUUUCUGAACGCAUGACUAUAACUUCAGCUCUAUUACCAUUUUACAUUUGUUUGCUUCAUGUCAUCUUGCUCUAUGCAACAUACGGCUAUGCUACAGUUUGAUCCGCUGAAUUUUGUUGAGCUUUGUAUAUACACUUCAGAUAUAUGGCAAUGUGUGUAGGAUCAUGACUAUGUUCAAGGGCUCAAUCCGAAGUUCGUGCAGCUGAAGGUUACAGAUUUUGGUCAAACAAUCUAUGAGAAAUGGACCCCUUGCGAAUAUAAUGAACUUAAGCUAGACAGAAAACCAUAUAGACAGUGUUCUUUUCUCUCUACUAUUUUAGCUAAUGUGUUAAAGGGUACCUUAUUUAGUUUUGUUCUCUGUAUUGUGUGGUGUUGUACAUGUUGUGGUGAAGAAGUAUAUCAAAAGCCCCACUUUCUAUUUAUUUGCUCUUA